GGUUGGAUCUCGCGGUGUCUAUAGUCGGCCAUUAUUGGUGUUGGCGGCCUAUCAGGGCAGCAUUAUGUCGACCCUGUCAGAAAAGGAGAGACACAAGCUCACCCAGGAGAAGUGUCAGAGUAUCCUGUCUGACCUGCUAAAGGAUGAAGACAACAAGUACUGCGUGGACUGUGACGCCAAAAGUCCCAGAUGGGCAUCAUGGAACCUGGGUAUCUUCUUGUGCAUCAGAUGUGCUGGUAUCCACCGCAACUUGGGCGUUCACAUCUCCAAGGUGAAGAGUGUCAACCUAGAUACUUGGACACCUCAACAAGUUGCUUGCAUUCAGCAGAUGGGUAACAGCCGGGCACGAGCAGUCUACGAGGCCAACAUUCCUGACAGCUUUCGUCGGCCACAGAUGGACUCUGCUCUAGAGCAGUUUGUCCGAGCCAAAUAUGAAGCCAAAAAGUACAUUGCCCGAGAGUGGGUGCAACCUCCAAUGCCCAACCCUACCUGGGAUCUUGAACUUGAAAAACAACUUAGAAAGAAGAAAAGAGAAAAGGGCAGUGGGACUGUGGAACUACCAGCAUUAGUAAGUAACACCAGCAACCGAGGAACCAGCGCCUCCCCCAAGCCCCUGCCAAAGGCUCCUGGAAGCAAGAGUUCCUCACCUUCACCUAGUACAGGUGUCAAGAAUGCUGCAGCCACUACUUCCUCUUCUUCAGCAACAACAGCAACCUCCAGUGCCACACAGGACUUGUUGGGAUUAGAAACUGUAACAGCCAGUAAUACUGCAACAUCAGAUGAAUCAGAUCCCUUUGGAGAGUUUCUGGGACCCCCAACAACUCAGACCACUUCCACAACUUCUAAUUCCACACCAGCACCAACUGAUUCUGUAAAGACAGAGGAGGAAAACUUUUUCAAUCAGAAAUUACCUGAGAGUGGAUCUGGCCAAGACAAGUUAACCAAAGAUUCAAUCUUGGCACUUUAUGGCCAAACCCCAGCCCAGCCCCAACCUGCCCCAGGAAUGUUUGGUAUGCCUGGUGGAGUAUACAUUGGCCCUACUGGUGCACCUGCACCCAUGCCUACUCAGCCUUUAGGGCAACCACCACCAGGCAUACAGAAUGGUGGAGUGGUACCCCAGCCUCAACAGCAGAACAUGAUGUUCAUGGCCCAGACUGGAAUGCCUGUUGGGGGUGGUGUUCCCAACCCAUUUUUCCCUAAUGGGUUGCCUCAGGCUGUCCAGCUCUCAGCAGCUAACCCCUUUGCACAGAUGCAGUCCCAGUUGGCCAAUCUCAAUAUAACGGGACAGUCAGGUCAACCCCACCCUGGCUUUGUUGGAACCACCCCUGGUAUGAUGGGGAGCAUGGGAAUGGGUAUGUCUGGGGGCAUUCCUACAGGAUCCAUGGGUGCCAAUACCAUGUCCAGCUCUGUGGCAUCUGGAGGUUUUCCAUCAGUUACCAGCAGUGGGACUGGUGGAGGGAACACUACCUUGGCUACCAAACUAUGGCAAUAACAAGGGUGUGAUCUAGGAGAAUACUGUGCUACCACCCUCACACUCCCUUGGUGCCAGAACCCAGCCACUGUAAGAUGAACCAGGUGCUGCUGAGCCCUCAGGAAGUGUGACCAUGUGUUGCUGCGUGAGUGUGCAAUGUAAGGUGCUGAUUAUGUGUGACUGAGGAAGUCAGUUAUUCUGUACAUAAUUGAAAUUGGGUGAGGGUGAAUUUUACAAGUAAUUUAGACUCUCAGCAUGCACUUUAUUUGUACACAGCAGUUUUCCAUGAUAUAUGCUCACAUGCGUAAAGCUUCAAAUGUCUCCCACUCUACCCAUAUCUCGUAUCUGUCUUCCCAGUCCCAUCACACGCACACACACACACACACACACACACACACACACACACACACACACACACACAAACACACACACACACACAUUCUUAUAUUUAUCAGUACAAGGUUCUUGAAAAACACACUAGUCAACAGAAAUAAUUUUGAUGUUCAAAUACGCGAAGACAGUAAAAUAAUAGUGGCGACUCCUUGGCCUUUGUGAUGGUAAGGUGCAGCACAUUACACUGCAUCAAAGACAUGUACUAGUAUUCUCACAUAUCACUGUAAGUUGCACUAAAAACUACUUGGUAUAGAAUAAAAAUACUCAAUUAAAUUUGUAGCCUUGUCUGUACCCAGUGAAUACAUUCUCAUAAGCUUAAAUUUUCUUCCUUGAGGUUUCCUUCAGAAUGUUUAAUGAUUUCAUGUCCUUGCAAUAUCUAGCAUCUGACAGCAAGCAAAGCUAAGUAAACAUAGCUUUGUUUAUCAUCAGAUUCUAGAUCAAACAUAGAACAAUUGGUUGUUCAUAUAUUUAUACCACAAAAAUUUAUAUCUUAACCACAAACUUUUCUCUUGAUCUGUCAGAUAUCAUUGCUCCUUGAUUAUUAUAGGUUAUAUUUAGAUAUUUAUUUAUUUGAGUUGUAAAAAGACAUAUUGUUUAAAAUACAUAAGAAAAUAGAUAGUGUACAAAUUUGAUUUUAUGUAUUCAUUUGAAGAAACUGUGGUUCCAUUAUUGCCUUAUAAGAUGUAGAAUAAAAGGCCACGUUGUAUCAGAAAACUGUAUUGAUAUUGCUAUGGUAUUACUAAAAACUGACUCCUUUGUUAAUCUGUUUUUCACCUAUUCUGUUGCACAUGACAUCCAUAAUGCUAAAGUAAAUCAUCCUCAUUACGGUACCUCAUAUUAUGCAAUAACAAGAUCCAAGUUUGUGUGAACUUGUGCUGCUGCAGCACUUCCACCUGGUCUCUUCACUGCACACCCAUGUAGGAAGUUCAUAUCAUCAUAGCCAAGACAAGGCGUCUACAUGGUUUACACACACACACACACACACCUUAAAGAUAGAUUAAAUUCAUCAAUUCAUCUCAGCACAUAGAGGUCUAGGGGGAAAGAGGAACCUCAUCAACCAUACUGCAGGAGGGUUUAUAUAUAUAUAUAUAUAUAUAUAUAUAUAUAUAUAUAUAUAUAUAUAUAUAUAUAUAUAUAUAUAUAUAUUCACACACAUUUGUGUGUGUGUGUGUGUGUGUGUGUAUGUGAAAUAGAAGUGAGUACAAAUGUGGAGUUCAGUUAAAGACUGAUAAAAAAUUUUCAAGGGAAUAAGACAUUUUUUUGGGGGGGAAUGAAGUGAAGAAGCUGUGAAAGUAAACAUCAAGGAGAGAAAAGAGCAUAAGAAGACAGCAAGAUGUUGACCAAGAAGGAUGCUGCAGAGGCAGACAGGUAGUGCAUUAUGAAGCACUGCCAAAUGUAGAAGAGGAUAGGGAACCUGAGAAUGCUGCAGUAGGAAUGGAGCAAGGAAUAAAUGUGUUUGGAUGGAUGUGUUGUCGAAUGCUUGAAGAACACAGGUGCAACUAUUAUUGUUUCCACAAGUGACCCUUUCUCAGUAAUGGCCAAUUAUAAUUGUUCCUCUUCUCCUCCUAAAGGCCUAGAAUUUUUUUUUUUUUAUUUAUUUAUUUAUUUUUUUUCUCAGCCUUAGGGAAUGUUUGUGCAUUUGGGUGCAUGCAUGUAAGCACCUUGUUUUGGCUGAUCCUCUUCAUGGGGAUGACCCCUUAGUAUAUAGAUUUGUAUUUGUGUAAUUGUAUGUGUUUUGCCAGCAUGUGCACACAUGACAGUAGCAUUGCUACAAUAUAUACAGUGGAUGAAAUGAGACAGACUAUUGUCUGUUUUUUAUAGACUAACUAAUAUCAAGAAUCCACCUAGUGAAUGUGCAAGUAGAUAUUGUAAAAUCAUUAUGUACAGCCCUCUAAGUAAUGUUGUUGAGCUUAGUAAGCUACAAGUGCAGGCUUAGUAAUGUUCUUGAUAACUAUUGUGGUUUUAAGAGGAAACUAGAUUUUGAAGGUGAAAUCUAUAAAUAUUAAGGUAAAAGGAAAUGAGCAGCAUUUCUUGCAUAAUGUAUUUGAUAUUAGUCACAUUAAAUUGUCAAGACAAUGCGCCUGAGUCAAUCUGUAUAAUCACCAUCAAUGUAGUAAUGCUUGGAAGGGAGACAAAACAAAUAAGUUAUAAAACACACACACACAAAAAAAAGAAUGAAGAACUGUAUGCAGCCUUCCUGGUGUGUGAUGCAGCAAGUCACUGGCUUACCAUUCUGCCAGGUGGGAGGGAGUCAGGUGUGUUGCCAAUUUUUAAACUCAAUACUGUAAGCAGAUUGGUUGAGUAAACAUGAUGACUGGAAAAUUUUAUCAUAAAAGUAAUUGUACUUCUAAUGAGGUAGUUUUCUUAGAAAAUAAAGAGCUGGUGAAAGCUAUAAAUGUCAAAGGAUAACUCUCUCUCUCUCUCUCUCUCUCUCUCUCUCUCUCUCUCUCUCUCUCUCUCUCUCUCUCUCUCUCUCUCUCUCUCUCUCUCUCUC
Scylla paramamosain (green mud crab) is the source of this 4358-nucleotide RNA transcript. It is a transcript of the gene named stromal membrane-associated protein 1-like, with no coding region annotated. The transcript has 8 exons. The record is from RefSeq and is a predicted model, not a curated record. NCBI's taxonomy places the organism in Eukaryota, Metazoa, Arthropoda, Malacostraca, Decapoda, Portunidae.